RNAcentral lists this ribosomal RNA (407 nucleotides) under uncultured bacterium. RNAcentral's name for it is "partial 16S ribosomal RNA". It matches the Rfam family "Bacterial small subunit ribosomal RNA", at positions 28 to 526 of the family's 1533-position model. The record is from RNAcentral.
GACGAACGCUGGCGGCGUGCCUAAUACAUGCAAGUAGGACGCAGUUGCGAACGGGUGAGUAACGCGUAGGUCACUGCCUAUUAAAGGGGGAUAACUACUGGAAAUGAUAGCUAAUACCGCAUACUAGUAGAUUGACCUGCGUUGUAUUAGCUAGUAGGUAGGGUAAUGGCCUACCUAGGCGACGAUACAUAGCCGGCCUGAAGAGGUGAACGUGCAACCUUGGAAUGAGACACGGCCCAGACCCCUACGGGGGGCAGCCGUAGGGAAUCUUCGGAAAUGGGGGGAAAACUGACCGAGCCACGGCGCGUGAGUGAAGGAGGUUUUCGGGUCGUAAAGCUCUGUUGUUAAGGAAGCGUUACUUAACCAGAAAGGGACGGCUAACUACGUGCCAGCAGCCGCGGUAAUAC